GACGAACGCUGGCGGCGUGCUUAACACAUGCAAGUCGAGCGAUGAAGUUCCUGCGGGAAUGGAUUAGCGGCGGACGGGUGAGUAACACGUGGGUAACCUGCCUCAUAGAGGGGAAUAGCCUUCCGAAGGAAGAUUAAUACCGCAUAAGAUUGUAGUACCGCACGGUACAGCAAUUAAAGGAGCAAUCCGCUAUGAGAUGGACCCGCGUCGCAUUAGCUAGUUGGUGAGGUAACGGCUCACCAAGGCGACGAUGCGUAGCCGACCGGAGAGGGGGAUCGGCCACAUUGGGACGGAGACACGGCCCAGACUGCUACGGGAGGCAGCAGUGGGGAAUAUUGCACAAUGGGGGAAACCCUGAUGCAGCAACGCCGCGUGAGUGAUGACGGUCUUCGGAUUGUAAAACUCUGUCUUCAGGGACGAUAAUGACGGUACCUGAGGAGGAAGCCACGGCUAACUACGUGCCAGCAGCCGCCGUAA
Molecule: ribosomal RNA, 477 nt
Filed under: uncultured bacterium
Lineage: Bacteria
Description: partial 16S ribosomal RNA
Rfam family: Bacterial small subunit ribosomal RNA
Source: RNAcentral